GAUGAACGCUGGCGGCGUGCUUAACACAUGCAAGUCGAACGGAAAGGCUCCAGCUUGCUGGAGUACUCGAGUGGCGAACGGGUGAGUAACACGUGGGUAAUCUGCCCUGCACUCUGGGAUAAGCCUGGGAAACUGGGUCUAAUACUGGAUAUGACCUUUCUCCUUAUGGGGUUUGGUGGAAAGUUUUUCGGUGUAGGAUGAGCCCGCGGCCUAUCAGCUUGUUGGUGGGGUGAUGGCCUACCAAGGCGACGACGGGUAGCCGGCCUGAGAGGGUGAUCGGCCACAUUGGGACUGAGAUACGGCCCAGACUCCUACGGGAGGCAGCAGUGGGGAAUAUUGCACAAUGGGCGGAAGCCUGAUGCAGCGACGCCGCGUGAGGGAUGACGGCCUUCGGGUUGUAAACCUCUUUCAGCAGGGACGAAGCGUAAGUGACGGUACCUGCAGAAGAAGCACCGGCUAACUAUGUG
RNAcentral lists this ribosomal RNA (467 nucleotides) under uncultured bacterium. RNAcentral describes it as "partial 16S ribosomal RNA". It matches the Rfam family "Bacterial small subunit ribosomal RNA", at positions 28 to 507 of the family's 1533-position model. The record is from RNAcentral.